GGAGGGUAUAGCUCAAUUGGUAGAGUGCUUGCUUAGCAUGCAUGAGGUCCUGGGUUCAAUCCCCAGUACCUCCA
RNAcentral lists this transfer RNA (74 nucleotides) under Vicugna pacos (alpaca). RNAcentral describes it as "tRNA-Ala (AGC) (tRNA-Ala-AGC-451-1)". It matches the Rfam family "tRNA". From Rfam's summary of the family: Transfer RNA (tRNA) molecules are approximately 80 nucleotides in length. The record is from RNAcentral. Lineage: Eukaryota; Metazoa; Chordata; Mammalia; Artiodactyla; Camelidae.